CCUACGGGUGGCAGCAGUGAGGAAUAUUGGUCAAUGGGCGUAAGCCUGAACCAGCCAAGUCGCGUGAGGGAUGAAGGUUCUAUGGAUCGUAAACCUCUUUUAUAAGGGAAUAAAGUGCGGGACGUGUCCCGUUUUGUAUGUACCUUAUGAAUAAGGAUCGGCUAACUCCGUGCCAGCAACCGCGGUAAUACGGAGGAUCCGCGCGUUAUCCGGAUUUUUUGGGUUUAAAGGGUGCGUAGGCGGGCUUUUAAGGCAGCGGUGAAAGUCUGUGGCUCAACCAUAGAAUUGCCGUUGAAACUGGGAGUCUUGAGUAUGUGUGAGGCAGGCGGAAGGCGUGGUGUAGCGGUGAAAUGCUUAGAUAUCACGCAGAACCCCGAGUGCGAAGGCAGCCUGCCAAGCCAUGACUGACGCUGAUGCACGAAAGCGUGGGGAUCAAACAGGAUUAGAUACCCCUGUAGUC
Molecule: ribosomal RNA, 460 nt
Filed under: uncultured bacterium
Lineage: Bacteria
Description: partial 16S ribosomal RNA
Rfam family: Bacterial small subunit ribosomal RNA
Source: RNAcentral